This 461-nucleotide ribosomal RNA is filed under the name Acidipropionibacterium microaerophilum. RNAcentral describes it as "bacterial SSU rRNA". It matches the Rfam family "Bacterial small subunit ribosomal RNA", at positions 910 to 1370 of the family's 1533-position model. The record is from RNAcentral. Lineage: Bacteria; Bacillati; Actinomycetota; Actinomycetes; Propionibacteriales; Propionibacteriaceae.
UUGACGGGGGCCCGCACAAGCGGCGGAGCAUGCGGAUUAAUUCGAUGCAACGCGAAGAACCUUACCUGGGUUUGACAUGGAUUGGUAACGGUCAGAGAUGGCCGCCCCCCUUUGUGGGCCGGUUCACAGGUGGUGCAUGGCUGUCGUCAGCUCGUGUCGUGAGAUGUUGGGUUAAGUCCCGCAACGAGCGCAACCCUCGUCCACUGUUGCCAGCAUUUGGUUGGGGACUCAGUGGAGACCGCCGGGGUCAACUCGGAGGAAGGUGGGGAUGACGUCAAGUCAUCAUGCCCCUUAUGUCCAGGGCUUCACGCAUGCUACAAUGGCCGGUACAAUGAGUGGCGACAUCGUGAGGUGGAGCGAAUCUCAAAAAGCCGGUCUCAGUUCGGAUUGGGGUCUGCAACUCGACCCCAUGAAGUCGGAGUCGCUAGUAAUCGCAGAUCAACAACGCUGCGGUGAAUACG